CACUAGCCCAGAUAGUAGUGGAAAUCCUUUUUCUUUUUUUUUAAAAGAAAAAGAUUGUAACGGAUAGCUGGAAAGAGC
This 78-nucleotide small RNA is filed under the name Flavobacterium micromati. Its description in RNAcentral is "Flavo-1 RNA". It matches the Rfam family "Flavo-1 RNA". Lineage: Bacteria; Pseudomonadati; Bacteroidota; Flavobacteriia; Flavobacteriales; Flavobacteriaceae. The record is from Rfam by way of RNAcentral.